This 499-nucleotide ribosomal RNA is filed under the name uncultured Glomeromycotina. RNAcentral's name for it is "partial small subunit ribosomal RNA". It matches the Rfam family "Eukaryotic small subunit ribosomal RNA", at positions 591 to 1092 of the family's 1831-position model. The record is from RNAcentral. Lineage: Eukaryota; Fungi; Glomeromycota.
CCAAUAGCGUAUAUUAAAGUUGUUGCAGUUAAAAAGCUCGUAGUUGAAUUUCGGGAUCAACAUGUCGGUCGUGCCUCGGUACGUACUGGCAUUGUUGGUUUCUCCCUUCUGACGAACCAUGAUGUCAUUCAUUUGGUGUCGUGGGGAAUCAGGACUGUUACUUUGAAAAAAUUAGAGUGUUUAAAGCAGGCUCACGCUUGAAUACAUUAGCAUGGAAUAAUGAAAUAGGACGUUUGAUUCUAUUUUGUUGGUUUCUAGGAUCGACGUAAUGAUUAAUAGGGAUAGUUGGGGGCAUUAGUAUUCAAUUGUCAGAGGUGAAAUUCUUGGAUUUAUUGAAGACUAACUACUGCGAAAGCAUUUGCCAAGGAUGUUUUCAUUAAUCAAGAACGAAAGUUAGGGGAUCGAAGACGAUCAGAUACCGUCGUAGUCUUAACCAUAAACUAUGCCGACUAGGGAUCGGAUGAUGUUAAUUUUUUAAUGACUCAUUCGGCGCCUUACG